RNAcentral lists this long non-coding RNA (2165 nucleotides) under Capsicum annuum. RNAcentral's name for it is "long non-coding RNA (CANN_LNC009473)". Lineage: Eukaryota; Viridiplantae; Streptophyta; Magnoliopsida; Solanales; Solanaceae. The record is from RNAcentral.
ACCCAACAUAAAUGAAUAAUUUCAAUAUAAUUUGCUCCCGAGGAUUCAUAUAAAUUAAAUUCAAUAGAGAAAUAAAUAAUUGAAUUAAGAGAAGGAAAUAAAGGGAGAAAAUAUGAGAUUCAGGCCCCUUUUUAGUUCAUUUCAAUUCUAGCCUGCUCUUUGGACCUAUUUUUUAUUCCUUUUCAACUAUGUAUAUUAGUUGUAUAUCACAAUCCAAUUAUUUCACAUUUUUCUAUAUAAUUGAUGUACACAUGACUUAAAAUUAGUCAUAUACACCCAAUUUGAUCCUCUAGCUGAAUAUUAGCACUCCUUUCCUCGUAUAUCACUUGUAUUCCACGUAUAUUUGUUGUAAUCUUUGUAUACAAUUUUGUAUCUUCAUAUGUUUGGUCCAUUUUGAACUUUGGUUGAAGCUUUGGACUCGAAGAUGAUGUAGGACUCUUUGGCCCAUUGAGAAAUGCAAAAAAUAGAAUCUGUUAGGAUUCAAGCAGAAUUUUACAUGCAAGGAAAAAGAAAGAUAAGAAUUAGCCAAAGAUGAAUACUAAUAACAACUAGCAAUAGGUUGAGAACCCAAUGAAUGUUUAACAAAAACUUAAUCAAUUCAGUAAAGUAGAGAAAGAAAAGAUCAAAAUGAUUUCAACAUGAAUUUCCCAAACAAAGGAUUUCUGGAAGAAGAUUUAUAAAUUAGUAACUUCCUAUGCGAUUUUCCUAAUGAAUUUAAACUAGUUUAAAGACAAACUAAGGACAACAAUAUCAUAAAGUGCACAAAUAUUGAUCUUGAUCAAGGCUAUGUAUAACAGCAACCCAAUUCUAGUCCAACAGUUUAUAAAUCAAAAGCAUACAUUAAUAAAGGAUCACUGGAAAGUAUCUCAAUAUUUAGAAAUUUAGAUAGAUACAAGGUAGUGGAAAAUCCAAACAUGUAAUCUGUCAAACUUUAUCAAAACACAAAAUAAACGAUAACAAAUAAAGAAAACCAACGAUAAAGGAACGUGAUACCCAACAUACUGUUUAUUCAACACAAUCAUACUAGUAAUAAUGAAUUCAAAAAAAACAAGACAGAUCGAACCUACUUCAUCUGGUGUCUAUGGUAAUAAACUUUUAAUAUCAACACACUACUAUUAAAAUGAUCUCAAAUCGGUUACUGGAAUUAUAAACAAUCAUGGCGAGAUUUCACGAUUUAGAUUAGAACAAAUAACAGAGGUAAAUUGAAGUAGGAUAUUACCAAAAGCAGAGGUCGUUCAACACCAAAGCCACAAAAUAAAACAAUUAACAUAAUACUAACUCUAAAAUUCGAUCAAAAAACUUCAUAAGAAAUUAGUCAAGAAGGGAAUUACUAGCUAAACAUACAACAAUUCCCAAUCAUCAAAGCACUGAAGUUUUAAAGAAAAGAAAAAUUAAAGAGAAUGAGUUUACCUUUUUGUGGGCAGCGAACCGGGACGAUGACUUAACAACAACUUCACUUCACCACCUUUCUUUAUGCAAAAACAGCAAUGAAAAUGGCACUUGAGUUACAAUUCUCACAACUCUAAGACUGGGAACAUGAAGUCCAAAAUCCUAGCCGAGUGAAAAGAACGUUUAGCCCCCUUUUUUUGAUUCUGAAAACCCCCCUAAAAUAAUGAGAGGUAGGGGAUUUAUAUAGAACCCCAAAAUCCCAAUUCUUGACUAAUUUGGCAAUGUGGGAGUGAAAAUUCAAGGGAUUUGGGGAUUUUAUUGAGGGGUGAGCUGAAUUGUACUGUUUUGGUACAAGAAUUUGAUUUUCAAAUUGAAAGGAUGAUGAGGUAUCCUUAGAAAGCUAAAUCGCGGGUACAGGCAGCUGGUAUUGGGUUGGGUCGCCGAGUUUUGGUUUGGUUUUGCAUUGAAAUUAUUGCUUCUUGCUGAUAUUAUUGUUGUCAAGUUAUUGUUGUCUGUUGGUGCUAUAAAAGACUCUAAUUGUUGCCGGUAUUAUCAAUGUUUGUUUGUAUCAUUAUUGAAGUAGAUUGUUAACACUGAUGUUGGCUAUCGUGGUUAGGUUGUUGUUGAUCGAUAUUGUUGUUGAAGAUGAUGUUACGGUGUUGUUUAAGUUAUUUAUCGGGUUUGGAGAAGAAAAAGGGUUGGGUCGGUUGCUAGACUCUAAUGGAGAGGAUGGAUUUUAGGUUUUUUUAGGGGGGGGGGGGGUUUUUCAAAAAUAA